Sphaeramia orbicularis (orbiculate cardinalfish) is the source of this 157-nucleotide long non-coding RNA. RefSeq lists it as uncharacterized. The transcript has 3 exons. The record is from RefSeq and is a predicted model, not a curated record. Lineage: Eukaryota; Metazoa; Chordata; Actinopteri; Kurtiformes; Apogonidae.
GCAUGGUACAUAGCCUUGUGAAUGCAAUCUGUGCCCGAGUCCGGAAGGGACCUCAUCACCACUCUGACAACAGAAGUGGGUUAAUCACCACAAGACCAUAGACGGCGCUCCUGUUGUCUCCUGAAAAAGCCUCGGAUCUGUAGGGCACUGGGUCACC